GUCAAAAUGGGUGAGGAAAUUAGCAACAUGCAAGUGAUACUCAGCAACUAUGUCAAAACAUCUGUGAAAGAAUCCGAUAUGUCGCUGAGAACUUCCAAAAUUCAGCUCAAAAUUCCCAGCGGUUGCGACGGCGCCGUUUUGGUGAAGAAUCUCUACUUAUCCAUCGAUCCUUUUAUUCUUGCCCUCAUGAAGAAUCAAGAGCUCGAUUUACCUUCUUUCACGCUGGAUUCUCCUAUUUAUGGAUUUGGAGUGUCGAAAGGACUGGAUUCGUCUCAUCCAAAUUUCAAGACGGGCGAGCUAGUUUGGGGGUUUACUGGCUGGGAGGAGUAUAGCUUUAUUAAAGAUCCAGACUAAUUGUUUAAGGUUCAAGAUAAAGAUUUGCCCCUCUCUUAUUAUACAGGGAUUCUUGGCAUGCCUUUAUGUUGGUUUUUUCAAGUUUUGCUCUCCCAAAAAGGAGGAAACUGUGUAUGUCUCUGCUGCAUCCGGAGCUGUUGGUCAGCUCGUUGGUCAGUUUACAAAGAUCGCAGGGUGUUACGUUGUUGGGAGUGCGGGGAGCAAAGAAAAGGUCGAUCUCUUGAAGAACAAAUUCGGGUUUGACGAAGCAUUCAACUACAAAGAAGAGCAAGACUAUAAUGCAGCGUUGAAGAGGUACUUCCCCGAUGGCAUCGACAUCUACUUUGACAACAUGGGAGGGAAGAUGCUCGAAGCGGUGCUAAACAACAUGAGACUCAACGGCCGUGUUGCGCUUUGUGGUAUGAUCUCCCAAUACAACAACCUUGAGCAGCCCGAAAGCGUCCACAACUUGAUUAACGCAAUAGUAAAACGGGUCCGUAUGGAAGGAUUUUUCACUAGCGAUGUCACGACCGCACUUCCUAGGAUAGAAAGUACGGUGGAUCGUGACUAAUGGGGGAAUUAAGAAGCGGGGAAGAAAGGGAAAUAA
Long non-coding RNA from Salvia splendens (bonfire salvia), 940 nucleotides. RefSeq lists it as uncharacterized. NCBI's taxonomy places the organism in Eukaryota, Viridiplantae, Streptophyta, Magnoliopsida, Lamiales, Lamiaceae. The transcript has 5 exons. The record is from RefSeq and is a predicted model, not a curated record.